This 472-nucleotide ribosomal RNA is filed under the name uncultured bacterium. RNAcentral's name for it is "bacterial SSU rRNA". It matches the Rfam family "Bacterial small subunit ribosomal RNA", at positions 36 to 518 of the family's 1533-position model. The record is from RNAcentral.
CUGGCGGCGUGCCUAACACAUGCAAGUCGAACGGAGCUGAAGAGCUUGCUUUCUAGCUAGUGGCGGACGGGUGAGUAAUGCGUGAGCAACCUGCCUGUCAGUGGGGGAGUAACUUCCGGAAACGGACGCUAAUACCGCAUAUAGUACAUAAUCCGCAUGGAUAAGUGUAUGAAAGGAGCAAUCCGCUGACAGAUGGGCUCACGUCCGAUUAGUUUGUUGGUGAGGUAACGGCUCACCAAGACUGCGAUCGGUAGCCGGGCUGAGAGGCUGAUCGGCCACAUUGGGACUGAGACACGGCCCAGACUCCUACGGGAGGCAGCAGUGGGGGAUAUUGCACAAUGGGGGAAACCCUGAUUGCAGCAACGCCGCGUGAGGGAUGAAGGUUUUCGGAUUGUAAACCUCUGUCCUUAGUGAAGAAACAAAUGACGGUAACUAAGGAGGAAGCUCCGGCUAACUACGUGCCAGCCGCAGC